RNAcentral lists this ribosomal RNA (419 nucleotides) under uncultured Prevotella sp. Its description in RNAcentral is "bacterial SSU rRNA". It matches the Rfam family "Bacterial small subunit ribosomal RNA", at positions 358 to 774 of the family's 1533-position model. Lineage: Bacteria; Pseudomonadati; Bacteroidota; Bacteroidia; Bacteroidales; Prevotellaceae. The record is from RNAcentral.
GGAAUAUUGGUCAAUGGGCGUAAGCCUGAACCAGCCAAGUAGCGUGCAGGACGACGGCCCUAUGGGUUGUAAACUGCUUUUAUGCGGGGAUAAAGUGGCGUACGUGUACGUUUUUGUAGGUACCGCAUGAAUAAGGACCGGCUAAUUCCGUGCCAGCAGCCGCGGUAAUACGGAAGGUCCGGGCGUUAUCCGGAUUUAUUGGGUUUAAAGGGAGCGCAGGCGGGGAGCUAAGCGUGACGUGAAAUGUAGCCGCUCAACGGCUGAACUGCGUCGCGAACUGGCUUUCUUGAGUGAGUUCGAUGUUGGCGGAAUUCGUGGUGUAGCGGUGAAAUGCUUAGAUAGCACGAAGAACUCCGAUUGCGAAGGCAGCCAACAAGGCCUUUACUGACGCUAAAGCUCGAAGGUGCGGGUAUCGAACA